UCCCCGUUACCGGGGCAGUCUAGCUAGAGAAAUUCAACUAGCUACAAGGGUUGCGCUCGUUAAUGGACUUAACCAAACAUCUCACGACACGAGCUGAAGACGGCCAUGCAACACCUGUCACUUGGUUCCCGAAGGCACUUUCUCCUUUCGGAGAAAUUCCAAGGAAGUCAAGCCUUGGUAAGGUUCUUCGCUUACCGUCGAAUUAAACAACACGCUCCACCGCUUGUGCGGGUCCCCGUCAAUUCCUUUGAGUUUUAAUCUUGCGACCGUACUCCCCAGGCGGGAUGCUUAACGCGUUAGCUUCGCUACUACCAGGGUCGAUACUGGUAACAGCUAGCAUCCAUAGUUUACAGCGUGGACUAC
RNAcentral lists this unclassified non-coding RNA (363 nucleotides) under uncultured bacterium. RNAcentral's name for it is "contains 16S-23S intergenic spacer region". The record is from RNAcentral.